This is a long non-coding RNA of Saimiri boliviensis boliviensis (Bolivian squirrel monkey), 528 nucleotides long. RefSeq lists it as uncharacterized. NCBI's taxonomy places the organism in Eukaryota, Metazoa, Chordata, Mammalia, Primates, Cebidae. The record is from RefSeq and is a predicted model, not a curated record.
CGGCGUCCGCGCCCUCCCACGGGGGCCGCCGCGGGCCCGGCCCCGGGAACGGCGUGAGCGUGAGCGGCGGCAGCGCCAGUGAGAGCCGGGAGAGCCUGGCUGCGAGGGGAGAGACCCGGUGAGCCCCUGUCCCGAGGAGACUGAGGCAGGCCCUCCCACCUAGCUGUGUGGCUUCAGGCCCCAAGCACACAGAAGUACUCCGUCACUGUAGGAUUAAUGUGUGAAUGCUACCUGCUGCGUGACAAUGACCAAGGGGGUGAGCUCUCCUAGGAUGAGAAUUUGGUGUGUCUUCUUCCUGCCUGAUGUCCCGGGUGCCUAGACUAAUAGAUGCUCAAUAAACACAUGCAGAGAGAAGAACUGGAGGUCUUCAGGAGGGCUGCUUCCGAGAUUCUGGGACUCCCACCUCUACCUAUCCCGUUGGCCAUCCCUGCUCUCAGCCGCCCCAGCCCUGAAGGAAGACACUCAACAUCUUCUGGCCUUUCCUGGGACACCAUGGCAUUCCGAUGGAGUUUCGCUCUUGUAGCCCAG